This 492-nucleotide ribosomal RNA is filed under the name uncultured bacterium. RNAcentral's name for it is "partial 16S ribosomal RNA". It matches the Rfam family "Bacterial small subunit ribosomal RNA", at positions 29 to 507 of the family's 1533-position model. The record is from RNAcentral.
AGUGAACGCUGGCGGUAGGCCUAACACAUGCAAGUCGAACGGCCGCACAGUAAGAGCUUGCUCUUACUGUUGGCGGGUGGCGGACGGGUGAGGAAUACAUCGGCAUCUACUUUUUCGUGGGGGAUAACGUAGAGACACUUACGCUACUAGCGCAUACGACCUACGGGUGGAAUCAGAGGAUAUUCGCACCUUGCCCGAUUCAAUGAGCCGAUGUCGGAUUAGCUAGUUGGUUGGGUAAAGGCCCACCAAGGCGACGAUGCGUAGCUGGUCUGAGAGGAUGAUCAGCCACACUGGAACUGAGACACGGUCCAGACUCCUACGGGAGGCAGCAGUGGGGAAUAUUGGACAAUGGGCGCAAGCCUGACGCAGCAAUACCGCGUGGGUGAAGAAGGCCUUCGGGUUGUAAAGCUCUUUUGUUGGGAAAGAAAAGCAGCAGGUUAAUACCUCGCUGUUCUGACGGUACCCAAAGAAUAAGCACCGGCUAACUUCGUG